This is a microRNA precursor of Sorghum bicolor (sorghum), 109 nucleotides long. It matches the Rfam family "MIR5565 microRNA precursor family". The record is from Rfam. Lineage: Eukaryota; Viridiplantae; Streptophyta; Magnoliopsida; Poales; Poaceae.
GCAGUCGGAUUCGCAUCAAUCCAUAUGUUUUGGGGUAGAUUGGAGUGGAACUUAAACUAAAUUCCACCCUAAUCCAUCUUAAUACAUGUGGAUUGAGGUGAAUCCGACA